This 75-nucleotide transfer RNA is filed under the name bacterium. RNAcentral describes it as "tRNA-Pro". It matches the Rfam family "tRNA". Rfam says of the family: Transfer RNA (tRNA) molecules are approximately 80 nucleotides in length. The record is from RNAcentral.
CGGGGCGUGGCUCAGCUUGGCUAGAGCGCCUGCGUGGGGUGCAGGAGGUCGUCGGUUCGAAUCCGGCCGCCCCGA